AAUAGGCUAAUUAAGAGCGUAAGGGGAAUGCCUUGGCUCUCAGAGGCGAUGAAGGACGUGAUAAGCUGCGAUAAGCUGUGGGGAGUGGCACAAACACUUUGAUCCGCAGAUUUCCGAAUGGGGUAACCCGGCAUAUUGAAGAUAUGUCACACUGUAAAGUGAGCGAACCUGGUGAACUGAAACAUCUAAGUAACCAGAGGAAUAGAAAACAAAAGUGAUUCCGCUAGUAGUGGCGAGCGAACGUGGAACAGCCUAAACCUAUGUUGUUAAGGCAAUAUAGGGGUUGUAGGACCUCAACAUUUAAUGCUAAUAGAACUAGAAUUUACUGGAAAGUAAAACC
RNAcentral lists this ribosomal RNA (340 nucleotides) under uncultured Flavobacteriaceae bacterium. Its description in RNAcentral is "bacterial LSU rRNA". It matches the Rfam family "Bacterial large subunit ribosomal RNA", at positions 1 to 356 of the family's 2925-position model. Lineage: Bacteria; Pseudomonadati; Bacteroidota; Flavobacteriia; Flavobacteriales; Flavobacteriaceae. The record is from RNAcentral.